CGGUGUGACGCCUGCCCGGUGCCGGAAGGUUAAUUGAUGGGGUUAGUUUUCGGACGAAGCUCUUGAUCGAAGCCCCGGUAAACGGCGGCCGUAACAAUAACGGUCCUAAGGUAGCGAAAUUCCUUGUCGGGUAAGUUCCGACCUGCACGAAUGGCGUAAUGAUGGCCACGCUGUCUCCACCCGAGACUCAGUGAAAUUGAAAUCGCUGUGAAGAUGCGGUGUACCCGCGGCUAGACGGAAAGACCCCGUGAACCUUUACUGCAGCUUGACAUUGAACUUUGAUCUUACUUGUGUAGGAUAGGUGGGAGGCUUUGAAACCGAGACGCUAGUUUCGCGUGGAGCCAAUCUUGAAAUACCACCCUGGUAAUAUUGAGGUUCUAACUCUGUCCCGUUAUCCGGGACGAGGACCAUGUCUGGUGGGUAGUUUGACUGGGGCGGUCUCCUCCUAAAGAGUAACGGAGGAGUACGAAGGUGCGCUCAGCGUGGUCGGAAAUCACGCGUAGAGUAUAAAGGCAAAAGCGCGCUUAACUGCGAGACCCACAAGUCGAGCAGGUACGAAAGUAGGUCUUAGUGAUCCGGUGGUUCUGUAUGGAAGGGCCAUCGCUCAACGGAUAAAAGGUACUCCGGGGAUAACAGGCUGAUACCGCCCAAGAGUUCAUAUCGACGGCGGUGUUUGGCACCUCGAUGUCGGCUCAUCACAUCCUGGGGCUGAAGUCGGUCCCAAGGGUAUGGCUGUUCGCCAUUUAAAGUGGUACGCGAGCUGGGUUUAGAACGUCGUGAGACAGUUCGGUCCCUAUCUGCCGUGGGCGUUUGAGAAUUGAGAGGGGUUGCUCCUAGUACGAGAGGACCGGAGUGGACGAACCGCUGGUGUUCGGGUUGUCAUGCCAAUGGCAUUGCCCGGUAGCUACGUUCGGAACUGAUAAGCGCUGAAAGCAUCUAAGCGCGAAGCAGGCCUCGAGAUGAGUUCUCACUAGACUUUUAAAGUCUCUGAAGGGCCGUUGAAGACUACAACGUUGAUAGGCAAGAUGUGGAAGUGGUGUGAGCCAUUAAGCUAACUUGUAC
Molecule: ribosomal RNA, 1062 nt
Filed under: Portunus sanguinolentus (three spot swimming crab)
Lineage: Eukaryota; Metazoa; Arthropoda; Malacostraca; Decapoda; Portunidae
Description: bacterial LSU rRNA
Rfam family: Bacterial large subunit ribosomal RNA
Source: RNAcentral